This is a long non-coding RNA of Priapulus caudatus, 567 nucleotides long. RefSeq lists it as uncharacterized. The transcript is spliced from 2 exons. The record is from RefSeq and is a predicted model, not a curated record. NCBI's taxonomy places the organism in Eukaryota, Metazoa, Priapulida, Priapulimorpha, Priapulimorphida, Priapulidae.
CAAACACGCCCUAUAAAUAACCUCAUCGUCAUCAUUUAGCCACUAAACUUCUUCCAGUGCUCCAGAUAAUUUUUGGCGUUGAUGAGUAUUUACUCACCAUUUUUUUUAUGUAUGAGUAUCGGCAAGAUCCCUAUGAGUACUCCUUGUUGGCAGUACUCAUCAUAUUUUCUUAGUAUGAGUAUCGACCAGAAUAUUAACAUAUCUUGCCUUUACAACCUCAUUAUCAACAAGCUUAGAUCACACACGUUCGACUUUCCUUAUUUGGAAUUAAUUCCGGGAAGGUCGAGUAGACUGCGUUCCAGUCGCAACACCAAUUCUAACUUCAGAGCUUUGUAAAAUAAACUACACACAGGAACCAGUCACGAUAGAUAGUAGAUAGACUGGUUCACGUACUGACACACAGCAGCCAUAGCGAACUUAAUGAGUGGGGCACCGCGACCAAGCUACCAGUCUAUUAGCGAGAGAGUCGAGCCGAUACGGGAGUAGAUGGAAGGUUAGCGUACUGAUACGAUCUGUUUGUUUUCUCAUGUACGUAUUUAUUAAAACACAAGCGUAUCUAUACGCAUA